This 175-nucleotide microRNA precursor is filed under the name Paramuricea clavata. Lineage: Eukaryota; Metazoa; Cnidaria; Anthozoa; Malacalcyonacea; Plexauridae. The record is from RNAcentral.
ACCACUCCCACAAACGUCUACGACCACGCCUACAUUCGACUACAUAGUUUUACAUGUUUACAAUUCUAAUUUUGAACAGCCAAUCAGGUUCUUGGUAAUUGGCUGUUUAAAAUUAGAAUUGUAAACGUGCAAAACUAUGUAGGCGCGGUCGUAGACGUUUGUGCAUGGGAGUGGU